This is a long non-coding RNA of Zalophus californianus (California sea lion), 209 nucleotides long. RefSeq lists it as uncharacterized. The transcript has 3 exons. NCBI's taxonomy places the organism in Eukaryota, Metazoa, Chordata, Mammalia, Carnivora, Otariidae. The record is from RefSeq and is a predicted model, not a curated record.
GGGGAUUGGAAGGCCCUAAAGCAGUGCAUUAAGCAAGCACAAGCUAAGGUCUGGCUGACUUUCCACAAUGGAAACUGUUUCCAAGGACACAGACUUAAAAGCAUAAUGUGCUGUUAAGACCCUCUGGAUGGUGUACAUCAUUGAACCCAGCCAGAAUCCAGAUGUCGUUCUGUAUGGAAGCCAUGUGGUCAGUUGCUGGUGAUGAGAAG